AUUAUUGGGAUGUCCUGCCCUGCGCAGCACACCCCGAUAAUUCCACCUGGUGCCUGAGAGCGUUGUCCGAACGCUUCUUGAGCUCUGACAGCCUUGGGGUCCUGACCAUUCCCUGGAAGCCCUUUCCAGAGGCCGCUCUGAAAACUUUUUCCUGACAUCCAGCCUAAAUCUCCCCGGGCUCAUCUUUAUGUCGUUCCCUUGUGUCUUGUCACUCACUGGUCACGAGAGUGAAGAGAGCGGUGUCUGCCCUUCUGCUGCCCCUCAGGAGGAGGUUGAAGACCACCAUGAGUGACAAAAUAAGCGCCUUCAGCUGCUACUCACACAGCUUCCCUUCCACACCCUUCCCCAUCCUCGUGGCCUCCUUUGGAUGCUCUCUAAGAGCAUAGUGCCUUCAUAAUGUGGUUAGCCUGGAGAAGACUGAAUGCAUAAAAAUAUCUCCUAGUGUGCUAAAAUGCUAGUGCAAGGGUCUUUUGGGUGCUGCCCAGAGAGGGUGCGGAGUGUCCCUCUCUGGAAAUGUUCCAAACCCAUCUGGACACAGCCCACUGUGUCCAUGCUCUGCAUGACCCUGCCUUGGUAGGGGCUUGGAUUGGGUGUCCCUUCCAGCCCUUACAAUUCCAUCAUCUUGGUGUGGGGUGGUAGAAGCCAUCAGGACAACCCUCAGGGUCUGUGCUGCCGAUGGCUCCAGCCCCACAGCGUCAAUGCUCCUGUGUCACCCGUGGCCCCUUAACUCUGACCAGGAACUGUCUGCGCUGCCUCAGUGCAAAGAUAAUGCAGAAAAAUGUCAAGGAUUGAAAGGGGUGUUGACCCCACAGCCACUGAUCUGGCUCUGACAGCAUUUGAAAAACAGAGUUCAGUUUCUGACUCCAUGGACAGCUUCAUUUUAACAGUGACAGUAACUCAAAGAAUGUUUUCUUAUAAACUAUGGGGUCAGAAUCACCACUUAAAGAAUUGUCUCCUCCCAUAACGUAAGUAUGAAAAUAUUUUAUCAUUCUGCUAAGUACAUUUUUUUCUCUCCAUGGGAAGAUGGUUUAUUUGUGUAGCUUUUAAUGUAAAUCACAUACACAAAUUCCCUGCACAUCUAAAUCACAGUCUAUCCUACAAUCUUUGACACUAGGAAUUUCUGCAGCAUGGGGUGUGAGAAUGUCUAGAUGUCCUAUAUGCCAGUGGAAAUAUGUAAAUUACUUGGAAAAUGGAUGGCAGAAUUUUAUGUUGGAUACAUGAUCAAUCAAAAAAAGUGAAAUUUUGUAUCGUAUUAAGCAAUGUUAUAUGUAUUCCUUCCAUUUUUCAUGUUUGUUUUCCCAGCAUUAGGGUUUUCUUCUUUCAGCCAUUGAAGAUGCCAUUGUUUCCUGUGGUGGUAAUAAGGAGAAAAAAAUGAAAAAUUGCUGUUACUGGUAAAGAAAAAAAAAAAAAAAAAAAAAAGAGUCAGGCCAUCCUAACUGGGGUCUUACAUUCCUGCACCCUGAGAAAAUGAGAAUAUGCUACCAAAUACUGAGGUAAUUUCCUAAUCAGUAUGCAAAAAUCAAAUGCUCAAAAAACUUUACAAUUCUCUAUUAACUGGGGAGUCCCAUGAAAAUACUUGGUUUAGUCACAGGCAGUACACUUCAACUCUGGUCACCUCAUCUUUGUGCAUAAAUGAAAGGUGAUAGUAAAAAUAAAAUAUAAACAAGAGGCUAGCAAGGAUGAAGGAAUGGCUUGUGCUUGAGAAGAGAUUAAAGCUCCCAGUGUGGUUCAUGUUGGAAAGUGACUUGGAAAGAAGGGAAGGUGAACAGUCUGACUUAUCAUGAACAGGGAACAAUUUGUCAUUGCACAAUAACUAAGUGAUUACAGGCACUCAUGGCUGUCAGGCCCCAGACUGUUCAGCACAGAGUGUAAUUUCAAGCCUUAUCUCUUAUGGUGAAAAAUUUGACCUCAUACUAUCUCAGAUGCUGAAAAAUACUCAUGGUUUCCAGAGGCAGUGAGGGUGAUUGCAGGAAGAAAGGCUGGAAGGAGAUGUCCUGCGUGGUGACUGCAAAUACCAGUUCUCUGAGGUCUUGGGUGAAGCCCUGGAUUCAUCAGUGACACUUCAGAAAGCCCAGGGAUGUACAUGUAUGUCUGGAUUGCCCAAAAGUUGUGGGUUUGAACCCAGAAUCCAGCUGCUGCUCAGGUAUCAGAUCCAGGCACUGAACACGUCACUGUGUGUUGAGUUUCACCUGUUGUUCCUCCAGGACUUAAGCCCAGAGAUGGAUUCUCACUUCUGGCUGUAGUUAAGUCUCCUGGAAAUGCUGUAACUCCAUGCUGAGCUUUUGCCAGACAUAUGCACAAAGUGAUUAAAGUUUAAUUUGCAGUGAGUUUUUGAAGUGGACUUAAAUUCCCUCCAGUACACUUGCUCCCACGUAAUUCAUCCUUGGCUCUGCUAUGACAGCACAUUUCAAACACAUUAUGGCUGUUAUUCAUUAUUCUGCCUUCAAAGCAGUGUUCCUGAAUUUUAGCUGAAGAUUUAUUUUGAUAUAAAUUUUUUCAGAAUGAAAGCAACUGAUUGUUUCACCAAAAAAAAAAAAAAAAAA
This is a long non-coding RNA of Taeniopygia guttata (zebra finch), 2543 nucleotides long. The record is from Ensembl. Lineage: Eukaryota; Metazoa; Chordata; Aves; Passeriformes; Estrildidae.